Small nuclear RNA from Mustela putorius furo (domestic ferret), 93 nucleotides. The record is from Ensembl. Lineage: Eukaryota; Metazoa; Chordata; Mammalia; Carnivora; Mustelidae.
UCUUUAAAAAAUUAAAUAAAUGAAGAAUUCAGGAGAUUGGCAUGUCCCUUGUGCAAGGCUGACACACAAAUUUGUGAAGAGUUCCAUAUUUAA